AUGUGCUUUUGUUUUUAUCAGAUGUUAUAUCGAGAUUAUCUGAGGUUCACUAGACAAUAUUGAUAACAACUUGAUAUUUAAGGGUUCAGAUAUUUGGUGGACAUUUCAAAAUGUCUAUCUCUUAAUCAGUAUCUGUUUAUAUAUACAUGUAUAUGUCUAUUUUCAAGGCCAAAUUACUGCGGCGGUUGUAAUAGGAUAUGGUAUACAAAAGGUGGUAGCGAUGUAACAAAAAGAUGUGCAUUCGAAUGUCCAAAUAGCAGUGAUUGUCUACCAGGAGUACCUCAUACGCCAUGUUUCAUAAAUCCAUGUGAUGGGAAAAGCUGUAAUGGCCAUCCAAAUGCUGUAUGUUGUCCAGUAUAUUGUGGAGGAUGUCAUGAUUUAUGGUUUGUUAACGGUUUGAGAGUCACUUGCCAAUAAUA
Long non-coding RNA from Mytilus californianus (California mussel), 419 nucleotides. RefSeq lists it as uncharacterized. The record is from RefSeq and is a predicted model, not a curated record. NCBI's taxonomy places the organism in Eukaryota, Metazoa, Mollusca, Bivalvia, Mytilida, Mytilidae. The transcript has 3 exons.